CCAAUUGGGCUGCUUUAGCAGGCUACUUUGAUAUAGUAGAUUGUAAACAUUUGUUUCUUUGGU
RNAcentral lists this transfer RNA (63 nucleotides) under Mesocestoides vogae. RNAcentral describes it as "tRNA-Ile". Lineage: Eukaryota; Metazoa; Platyhelminthes; Cestoda; Cyclophyllidea; Mesocestoididae. The record is from RNAcentral.